This 253-nucleotide ribosomal RNA is filed under the name uncultured bacterium. RNAcentral's name for it is "partial 16S ribosomal RNA". It matches the Rfam family "Bacterial small subunit ribosomal RNA", at positions 524 to 776 of the family's 1533-position model. The record is from RNAcentral.
UACAGAGGGGGCAAGCGUUAUUCGGAAUUAUUGGGCGUAAAGGGCGCGUAGGCGGCUUGGCAAGUGGAAGGUGAAAUCCCUCGGCUUAACCGAGGAACUGCCUUCCAGACUGCUUUGCUUGAGGCCGGGAGAGGCGAGUGGAAUUCCCAGUGUAGCGGUGAAAUGCGUAGAUAUUGGGAGGAACACCAGUGGCGAAGGCGGCUCGCUGGACCGGUUCUGACGCUGAGGCGCGAAAGCGUGGGGAGCGAACAGG